AUCCAGCUGACGCGUCCUAAAUAGGAAGAAACGUGUGUCCUGGAU
Molecule: non-coding RNA, 45 nt
Organism: Schistosoma mansoni
Lineage: Eukaryota; Metazoa; Platyhelminthes; Trematoda; Strigeidida; Schistosomatidae
Source: Rfam